This 329-nucleotide unclassified non-coding RNA is filed under the name soil metagenome. Its description in RNAcentral is "partial contains 5.8S ribosomal RNA, internal transcribed spacer 2, and large subunit ribosomal RNA". The stretch from base 1 to 120 matches the Rfam family "5.8S ribosomal RNA", at positions 35 to 154 of the family's 154-position model. The record is from RNAcentral.
GAUGAAGAACGCAGCGAAAUGCGAUAAGUAGUGUGAAUUGCAGAAUUCAGUGAAUCAUCGAAUCUUUGAACGCACAUUGCGCCCCUUGGUAUUCCAUGGGGCAUGCCUGUUCGAGCGUCAUUUGUACCCUCAAGCUUUGCUUGGUGUUGGGCGUCUUGUCGUAUUACGACUCGCCUUAAAUACAUUGGCAGCCGGCACUUUGGCCUAGGAGCGCAGCACAUUUUGCGAUCGUAGCCCGUUGUACUGGCGUCCAUCAAGAACAUUUACCACGUUUGACCUCGGAUCAGGUAGGGAUACCCGCUGAACUUAAGCAUAUCAUAAGCGGAGGA